RNAcentral lists this ribosomal RNA (393 nucleotides) under uncultured bacterium. Its description in RNAcentral is "partial 16S ribosomal RNA". It matches the Rfam family "Bacterial small subunit ribosomal RNA", at positions 523 to 918 of the family's 1533-position model. The record is from RNAcentral.
AUACGGAGGAUCCGAGCGUUAUCCGGAUUUAUUGGGUUUAAAGGGUGCGUAGGUGGUUUGAUAAGUCAGCGGUGAAAGUUUGCAGCUUAACUGUAAAAAUGCCGUUGAAACUGUCGGACUUGAGUGUAAAUGAGGUAGGCGGAAUGCGUGGUGUAGCGGUGAAAUGCAUAGAUAUCACGCAGAACUCCGAUUGCGAAGGCAGCUUUCUAAGCUACAACUGACACUGAAGCACGAAAGCGUGGGGAUCAAACAGGAUUAGAUACCCUGGUAGUCCACGCAGUAAACGAUGAUUACUAGCUGUUUGCGAUACACAGUAAGCGGCACAGCGAAAGCGUUAAGUAAUCCACCUGGGGAGUACGCCGGCAACGGUGAAACUCAAAUGAAUUGACGGGG